Phalacrocorax carbo (great cormorant) is the source of this 274-nucleotide non-coding RNA. The record is from RefSeq and is a predicted model, not a curated record. Lineage: Eukaryota; Metazoa; Chordata; Aves; Suliformes; Phalacrocoracidae.
GAUGAUUAGUCCCAUCUCAUUCUUUAAAAGGCUGUUCAGAAGAAGAUACAGCUGAUAUUGCAGACAAAUACUUUUCAGUGUGGAACGUGCCAUGCUAUUGUUACCCAAAGCGUGUAUAAAAACAAGGAUGAACCUAUUCCUGUUUCCACAACAAAUGGAAAUCAAAACCAUUGUGACCUCAAGAGGCCAAGGAACCAGCUGACUCUGUCCACGACUACUAGACCCCCAAAUGCUGCAUCACAUCCUGAAAAACUUCACAUAGAAAAAUUCCAGC